AUUGAACGCUGGCGGCAGGCCUAACACAUGCAAGUCGAGCGGAUGAAGGGAGCUUGCUCCUGGAUUCAGCGGCGGACGGGUGAGUAAUGCCUAGGAAUCUGCCUGGUAGUGGGGGAUAACGUCCGGAAACGGGCGCUAAUACCGCAUACGUCCUGAGGGAGAAAGUGGGGGAUCUUCGGACCUCACGCUAUCAGAUGAGCCUAGGUCGGAUUAGCUAGUUGGUGGGGUAAAGGCCUACCAAGGCGACGAUCCGUAACUGGUCUGAGAGGAUGAUCAGUCACGCUGGAACUGAGACACGGUCCAGACUCCUACGGGAGGCAGCAGUGGGGAAUAUUGGACAAUGGGCGAAAGCCUGAUCCAGCCAUGCCGCGUGUGUGAAGAAGGUCUUCGGAUUGUAAAGCACUUUAAGUUGGGAGGAAGGGCAGUAAGUUAAUACCUUGCUGUUUUGACGUUACCAACAGAAUAAGCACCGGCUAACUUCG
RNAcentral lists this ribosomal RNA (482 nucleotides) under uncultured bacterium. Its description in RNAcentral is "partial 16S ribosomal RNA". It matches the Rfam family "Bacterial small subunit ribosomal RNA", at positions 30 to 505 of the family's 1533-position model. The record is from RNAcentral.